ACAACCAUUUCACAUAUAAUGUGGUAUUGGCAGAUGUGGGUGGCACUUGCUGUGCCCCUCCCACUCAGCUGAAAUGGAUAGGCCGGAGAAGCAAACCAUGGCAACAGACUCACAGAGUGUUAUACAAUGCUAAACUAGUCUGAAGUAGGUUGAAAUCCGUGUCACUGGACCCCCCGUUCAUCAAAACCAUAGA
RNAcentral lists this unclassified non-coding RNA (193 nucleotides) under uncultured Tuberaceae. RNAcentral describes it as "sequence contains ITS2". Lineage: Eukaryota; Fungi; Ascomycota; Pezizomycetes; Pezizales; Tuberaceae. The record is from RNAcentral.